UGGAGCUUUAAACAGCUCUGAGUAAGCUAACAAAGUAAGAUUCUGGUGCUGAAAAGCUGAGGAUGUGACCCUGAUCAUCA
Vulpes vulpes (red fox) is the source of this 80-nucleotide unclassified non-coding RNA. The record is from Ensembl. Lineage: Eukaryota; Metazoa; Chordata; Mammalia; Carnivora; Canidae.